AUUCAGCUGACGAAUUCGAAAUAGGACGAGACGUGCGUCAAACUGAAU
Molecule: non-coding RNA, 48 nt
Filed under: Schistosoma margrebowiei
Lineage: Eukaryota; Metazoa; Platyhelminthes; Trematoda; Strigeidida; Schistosomatidae
Source: RNAcentral